This is a long non-coding RNA of Grus americana (Whooping crane), 2439 nucleotides long. RefSeq lists it as uncharacterized. The transcript is spliced from 7 exons. NCBI's taxonomy places the organism in Eukaryota, Metazoa, Chordata, Aves, Gruiformes, Gruidae. The record is from RefSeq and is a predicted model, not a curated record.
GCGGCGGCCGGGGGAGCCGGGGUUUCCCCGCUACACUCCCUGCCGCGUCGGUGGUGGGCCCCGGGGCGGCCGGGCAGGGUCAGGCCGGGGGGGCGGCCGCCACCUCCGCCACGGCGCAGCCCCCGGGCCAGGCCCGCCGCCCCCUCGCAGGAGAAGCUGGGGGGCCAGGCAAGGAGCGGUCCCGGCCCGCAGCGGGAAGAAUGAACGUGACUGUCUCAGUUGUAGCCAGGACUAUCAGUUUCCUCGCUGAGAAGACAAGAGGGUUCCUGCUGUAUGUGUGUAUAUUCCAGUGACCUGCCCGACAGUAGACAUUGCAAAGUCAUCUGAGAGGACUUCUGUUCACCUGUCUGACGUCUCUCUGUAUGAAAGAUACUGGCUUAGAAUGGCAGUAUCAGUCAGCCACCGCCGUAGCAGCACUCUGAGCAGCACGAUUGAGGGGUUUAGAAAAACAUCUCAUCUAGAAAUCACACCUUUUGCAUAAAGGCUUUCAGACGACACUGCAUCUUACAGCUGUGUCUUCAGGAAGGACUGCUUCCACGUGGGAGUGAAGAUUAUUGCUCAAAGGGGAUCCCAGCUUCACAGCACUGCAGGCUGAAAUCUUUUCUACAUGGAAUACCUAACUGGAUCCGAAUUAAAAUAAGAUGGCUCUACCUAGAUCUUCCAUCACGGCUGUCUGUCUUGGAAGUAUAGACAUUUCUGAAAAUAAGCUGAAGGUCACAUCUGGAAGACGAGAAUGUAUUUCCCCACAGAAGAUAUUAAAGGCUUUAUGAUUAUGCCAGAGCACACAGUUAAGUACAUGGAACCAUUAAAGUUUGACAAGGCACCUGAUCUAGAUGAAUAACAUUCACAAAUUCCAGAAGAAUCAUUAAGGUCUGCAAGGUCAGAAAAAGAUGUGAAGUCCUACAUGGAAGCUGGGAACCGACUCUUGCGAAUAUUGUCAUGUGAAGCCAUACUUGCUCUCUCUGAAGGACUACGCGUUAUUGAACUUCACAGCUGUGGUGGUUUUGGGUAUAGGAGGGAUGCUGCAGAUGGAGAUGCAAAAGCUUCUUACAGCCUUUGUGCAGAAGUAAUUUCAAGGAAAGAAAUACGUACUUUAAUGAUUGCCAUUUUUAUAAGUUUUUAAGGUUGUUUGAAGCUGAGUCUCUGGCUUGGACUGCUAAGUAAAUCCCAGAUAAUGAGAAGUGGGCAGAAGAAAAUAUAUAUUUUGAGCUGAAAAUGCGGUUGGCAAUACCCGCAUGCUGAGCUGAUGUAUCCACAGGUUUAAAUUUUCUUCAGUGAACUUAUUCCAUAGCUCAUGUAAGUUUCAAAUAUACUUUAUUAAAAUUGCUGACCAGAAAAAAAAAUAGUUAAAAUAUCCCUUCUUUAUGGAAAAUUUAUCUCACAAUUACAACUGCUCAGGCAGUGUGCUUGCCCACUGCAUUGUCUUUACAUUUUAACAUGUUUAUUUAUAGCCAUACAAUUUUUAAAAGCACCCACAACAAACAACAUCAUGCUCCCCAGGCAAAUGCAUAAGAUGGGCUAGAAUCUUCAUUUGUUUGUGCUGUGCAUGCUCAUUUAGAUUAUGGUAAAGUGGGUAUAAAACACUACUGGAACACAAUGCAAAUGAUGUAUGCCUCUUUGCAAUGAGAUAAACGAUUAUAUGUGGUAUUAGAACUGUAAUUUUAUGCUUGUUAGUCAUCCAAUUUUGAUUAAGGGAUCAUUUAUUUUAAGAAUAAGUCUGCAUCACUGUUCGGGCUUUCUCUUUCUACAUCAAGUUGUAUGUUAAAGACUGGACAAAAAGCAACCCAAGACUAGGACAGCUGGGGCUGAUGCGGUGGAAAUGGCGCAGCACAGAGCCGAACACUUCUCUUCCCAGUAGAAGAGCUACAAAAUGGAACCGUUAGUCUCUGGCUUCAAAGGGAAUUUGGGUUUAAAGGUACUUGGGCCCUCAAGGUAAGCACUGGCAAUUUCCAUAUUGCUCAUAAAAUGCUAAUACAGACACAGAAUUUUUUUCUUCCAAAAACCAAAACCUUUUCAGAUUAAUUCCACAAUUGUACAUAUUAUGGGGGUUUUGAUAGCUCCUAAAGUAUUUCUACAGUUACACACAAAACAGAUACUCUUGUGUGAGCGUUAGGAGUAAAACCCAGAAAUUUUGGUUUUUCCUUUGUAGAUAAUUGAGUUCAGAUAAUACAGAGGAGUAAUUAUCGCUUCUAACAGGUAGGAUGGGUGACUCGGUGCCAGAAGGAAGCGAUUCUCAAAUGUGCCAUGAGUAGAGGAAUGUGAACCUGAGUGCUGCAUUCACUGCUAUUGGGAUUCAGGAAAAUCCUGCCGGAAUGAAGAUGUAGGGGGGGGUCUCCUCUGAGGCCUAUAUCCGAAUAUGUGUUCACUUCAUUUAUAAUGGACUAGCUGAUUCCUAGUGCUUCCUGGCCAUAAGCUUGUAUAUGCACCAGAAAUAAAGAA